RNAcentral lists this ribosomal RNA (500 nucleotides) under uncultured Glomeromycotina. Its description in RNAcentral is "partial small subunit ribosomal RNA". It matches the Rfam family "Eukaryotic small subunit ribosomal RNA", at positions 591 to 1092 of the family's 1831-position model. The record is from RNAcentral. Lineage: Eukaryota; Fungi; Glomeromycota.
CCAAUAGCGUAUAUUAAAGUUGUUGCAGUUAAAAAGCUCGUAGUUGAAUUUCGGGAUCAGUACGCUGGUCGUGCCUUUGGUAUGUACUGGUGUCACUGAUUCCUCCCUUCUGAAGAACCGUUAUGCCAUUUAUUUGGUGUGGCGGGAAAUCAGGACUGUUACUUUGAAAAAAUUAGAGUGUUUAAAGCAGGCUCGCGCUUGAAUACAUUAGCAUGGAAUAAUGAAAUAGGACGUUUGAUCUUAUUUUGUUGGUUUCUAGGAUCGACGUAAUGAUUAAUAGGGAUAGUUGGGGGCAUUAGUAUUCAAUUGUCAGAGGUGAAAUUCUUGGAUUUAUUGAAGACUAACUACUGCGAAAGCAGUUGCCAAGGAUGUUUUCAUUAAUCAAGAACGAAAGUUAGGGGAUCGAAGACGAUCAGAUACCGUCGUAGUCUUAACCAUAAACUAUGCCGACUAGGGAUCGGAUGAUGUUAAUUUUUUAAUGACUCAUUCGGCGCCUUACG